AUGCGAAAUCUAUUCAAGAUGUCUGAUCUUGGAUUGCUCAGUUUCUACCUAGGAAUUGAGGUGAAGCAGAGCGCGCACGGCAUCAUCAUCAGUCAGAGCGCGUACGCUCGGAAGUUACUCGAGAAGAGCGGCAUGGCAGGAUGCAAGAUAUGCCACACGCCCAUGGAGCCGCGGUUCAAGCUGUCCAAGCAGAGCACGGCACCGGCAGUUGAUGCAAUAGAGUAUCGCAGCAUCGUCGGCAGCCUGCGCUACUUGGUGCACACACGCCCUGACCUGACCUUCUCUGUCGGAUACGUAUCGCAUUUCAUGGAGGCACCAACAGAAGAGCAUCGCACCGCCGUCAAACACAUUCUGAGGUACAUCGCCGGCACGCUACAGCUGGGGCGCAUGUAUGCCAGAGGGGAAGGCACGACGCAAGUUGUUGGUUAUAGUGACAGUGAUCUGGGGGGUGACAUUGAUGAUCGGAAGAGCACCUCCGGAACACUGUUUCUCCUUGGAGGCGGCGCAGUGACUUGGCAGUCUCAGAAGCAGAAGAUCGUCGCUCUCUCAAGCUGCGAAUCCGAGUAUGUCGCGGCGACCACGGCGGCCUGUCAGGGCAUCUGGCUAUCGCGACUGCUCGGCGAGUUCAGAGAGACAGAGACUGGCGCAGUAAAGCUCAAGGUGGAUAACAAGUCAGCAAUCUCCCUGGCUAAGAACCCUGUCAUGCAUGAUAGAUCGAAACACAUUGAACUUUGA
Molecule: ribosomal RNA, 735 nt
Filed under: Triticum aestivum (bread wheat)
Lineage: Eukaryota; Viridiplantae; Streptophyta; Magnoliopsida; Poales; Poaceae
Description: partial small subunit ribosomal RNA
Source: RNAcentral